Molecule: long non-coding RNA, 359 nt
Filed under: Apteryx rowi (Okarito brown kiwi)
Lineage: Eukaryota; Metazoa; Chordata; Aves; Apterygiformes; Apterygidae
Description: lncRNA (ENSARWG00000000004.1)
Source: RNAcentral
CUCCUGGGCCCUGCUCACACUGCUGUGGUUUUGUGCCUUUGCAGGGUAUAUGAGUACCAGAAGAUCCCACCCCUCAUUAACCGCAUCCCUGUCAAGGCCAGACGAACUCAUGUUGGGGCAGGAAGCAAAAGUAGUCUAAGCCCCCAACCUGGGACAAGGAGCAGCACCAGCUCCACGACAGGACGGACAAAGUUGCGGGCCGAAGAGCUGCACUCGAUCAAAGGGGAGCUGAGUCAGAUCAAGGCACAGGUGGACAGUCUGCUGGAGAGCCUGGACCGCAUGGACCAGCGGAGAGACCGUCUCUCAGUCUCUGUCCCUACAGGAUCCAAGGAGAGCGAGAAGAAAAGGGUCGAAGUGGG